GGAGUUUGGACCGUCUCUCAGUUCCAAUGUGGCCGAUCACCCUCUCAGGUCGGCUACCGAUCGUCGACUUGGUGGGCCGUUACCUCACCAACUAUCUAAUCGGACGCGAACUCACCCCAAACCCGGUUGCCCGUUUUACCCCUGCACCAUGCGAUGCUGUGGUCUUAUGCGGUAUUAGCACCUGUUUCCAAGUGUUAUCCCCCUGUCUGGGACAGAUUGUUCACGCGUUACUCACCCGUCCGCCACUGGAAUAUAUCCGAAUCCUGCCGAAGCUCUCAUCAAACAUAUCCCCGUUCGACUUGCAUGUGUUAAGCACGCCGCCAGCGUUCGUCCUGAGCCACGGAUCAAACUCU
RNAcentral lists this ribosomal RNA (353 nucleotides) under uncultured Coriobacteriales bacterium. RNAcentral describes it as "partial 16S ribosomal RNA". The record is from RNAcentral. Lineage: Bacteria; Bacillati; Actinomycetota; Coriobacteriia; Coriobacteriales.